GGGCGGGUUGGGUCGGUUUUUAUAGGUUAACCCACAACCUGACCUGACCCAACCCCCCUACAUAGCCAAAAAACUGAACCCACGUAAAAACAACAAAAAAAUCGACCCAACCCGGUCGGGUCGGGUCGGGCGGUUUGGACGGGUUGGAUCGGUUUUUGCCCACCCCUACUUGUAAGUAACUUUAUGGGAAAAUGACCAUGUCCUGAUCUUCUAAAGAUUGAAACAGAAUCUCUUUCUUCAAUAAUGUAUUGCUGUGUGUAUAUAGAAAGUACAUGGGGGAGACUAUGCAUGGGGAGACAUUCAUGAUUUAGCCUAUGUUUGGCUUAUGCUUAUAAAUACUCGAGUUACUUUUUAUUCGUAUAUUUCGAGAGAUUUACAAGUACUACAUACUUAUCAAUCACUUAUUUUAUCUAUUUAUAUUUAAACAGUUUAUAAACACUUCUUAAAGAUAUAUUUAAAGUAAUAUAUAAAAUGUUGAAUAGAUUAAGAUAUUGUUUUUGAAUUUAUUUAGAUAGGUGUUUGGCUUGGCUUGGCUUGGCUUGGCUGGAAGAGCUUUUAGAAGAAGUCAACCUAAGUUUCUACGAGAAGUAAAGCAAAAAAAAAGAAGUCCGACUUAAUAGUGUAUUUUAAUAUAAAAAUGUAGCAACAUGAUCCAAGUUCUUAAGCGAAAAUAAUUUCUUAAAACAAUGAUGAAGACAAUGAUUUAGCUGAUCGGAACUCUGUUAACCGUUUCACCAUUUAAAGAAACAAUUCAAAAUCUCGAAAAAUAAACAGAUAGAUUAGAAUGGUUGUGAAUAUGCAAAGAAGCAGAAACUUACACAGGACUUGAAUCCUCUUGAACGACUCGUUCAUUUAAUUGUUCAUGAACUUGGGGGCGAAGAAACUCCGGUUAGCUUGCUUUUGAAUGAUACUGAGCUCUAUAAAAGAGAUAUUUAUUGAAACAAUAUUCUUACCAAAUUUUUGCAGAGCCUAGGAAUUUACAGUACACGAUCGACCACCACGUAUAAAAGAGGGAUGGAUCACGGAUAGAUUAGAAAUAACGUUAGUG
Molecule: long non-coding RNA, 1048 nt
Filed under: Olea europaea subsp. europaea
Lineage: Eukaryota; Viridiplantae; Streptophyta; Magnoliopsida; Lamiales; Oleaceae
Source: RNAcentral